ACCCGCUGAAUUUAAGCAUAUCACUAAGCGGAGGAAAAGAAACUAACAAGGAUUCCCUGAGUAACGGCGAGUGAAACGGGAAGAGCCCAGCACCGAAUCCCCCGGCCGUGUGGUUGGAGGGAACUGUGGUGUUUGGGAGUACCUCUGGGGCGGUUGGUGGGCGUUCGAGUCCUCCUGAUUGGGGCUUGACCCUGAGCGGGUGUAAGGCCUCUACAGCACCUGCCACCGUCUCUCUGGAGCUCCCUGGAGUCGGGUUGUUUGAGAUUGCAGCCCAAAGUGGGUGGUAAACUCCAUCUAAGGCUAAAUACAUGCACGAGUCCGAUAGCGAACAAGUACGGUGACGGAAAGUUGAAAAGAACUUUGAAGAGAGAGUUC
RNAcentral lists this ribosomal RNA (375 nucleotides) under Chitinopoma serrula. RNAcentral describes it as "partial large subunit ribosomal RNA". It matches the Rfam family "Eukaryotic large subunit ribosomal RNA", at positions 23 to 390 of the family's 3401-position model. The record is from RNAcentral. Lineage: Eukaryota; Metazoa; Annelida; Polychaeta; Sabellida; Serpulidae.